GAUGAAGAACGUAGCGAAAUGCGAUAAGUAAUGUGAAUUGCAGAAUUCAGUGAAUCAUCGAAUCUUUGAACGCACCUUGCGCUCCUUGGUAUUCCAAGGAGCAUGCCUGUUUGAGUGUCAUGAAAUUCUCAACCUUUUCAGCUUUCUUUGUUGAUCAGGCUUGGAUGUGGGAGUAUGCGGGCUUCUCAGAAGUCGGCUCUCCUGAAAUGCAUUAGCGGGACCUUUGUUGCCUGGCUUUGGUGUGAUAAUUAUCUACGCCAUUGUAGUCAAGCAGCUUAAAAUGAGGUUUCAGCUUCUAACCGUCUCCCCUGAGACAACUUUUUGACAAUUUGACCUCAAAUCAGGUAGGACUACCCGCUGAACUUAAGCAUAUCAAUAAGCGGAGGA
This 387-nucleotide unclassified non-coding RNA is filed under the name soil metagenome. RNAcentral's name for it is "partial contains 5.8S ribosomal RNA, internal transcribed spacer 2, and large subunit ribosomal RNA". The stretch from base 1 to 120 matches the Rfam family "5.8S ribosomal RNA", at positions 35 to 154 of the family's 154-position model. The record is from RNAcentral.